GUUGAGUUAUGAAUUUGCGAAGAAAAAUGAUAGAUGAAGCGUACCUAGCUGUGUUACCUCGAGGAAGAAGAACUCGGUUUUAAAAAUGUUUGUAUGUAUCUGUCUCUGCCCACCACGACCCUAAUUUAGUGUGUUAUUUAGUGUGUAUGGAUCGAGGCGAGUGUUUUCAUGUUAAGAGCCCGAUCGACUCAUUCAGUACUGGGCUGAAUAAACUUCUUUGCUAUAAGUUCAUGUAAUCAUACCAAACACAUUAUCGUGGCCAUUACUUUGGGUUUAUGGAUUGUUAAUGUUUUUUAAUGGCUCACAUAACGCAUUACAAUAGCUCAUGUAAACUAGCAAUGACCAGCUGAUACUGACUGCCUGCGUGACACCUUGAUUUUGCCUUGCUCCGUGUUCCCCUUUACGUCUUAGGGGUCGAAGGGAGGGAGGAUGCAGGUCGAACCGCCGUGAUAAUGGCUUCAUACAUAUUAAUGGAGAGCCAUGCAUAUUGAUGUACAUUUAAUCUUAGAAGCUGAUAGAGUGAGGCAGUUUUAGCAGGGCGGCGUCUCCCGAGUCCGACAAACAAGCCUGUGUUGGGCAAGGCACACGAUGCUUGCCCGAGUGGCCUUGUGGGGUGACUGGAGGAGGUGGUGUGCAUGCUCUCUAGUAUAGGGCGUCACCUCUUGAUGAAUGGAUAACUAAGUGCUAAAAGGCAGGAAGCACACAGCCUCUCUAUAGUACUGGAGAGGUUAAAAAUUGGGUUGUCAGUGUAAGACUUGAAAUAAGAUUGGAACUGAUAUUGUGAUGGAGAAUAAAGCUCUAUAGGUACAGUAAAGGAAACAACCAGAAAAAUAUUAACUUAAAUCAUGUAACAAUGAAUAGUUAUAAUAGAUAUAUAAUUACUAGUUGUAGUAAAGUACAGGCAUUCAUCCUCCAAAUGUUUUAAUUUAGUAACAAAACAACAUUACAGUUCGCGGCGCAGUUAACAGAAGCUUCCUGAAGUCUGCGUACUGCACAGUGUUGAAUUUUAUUUCAACAAGUUCUCGGGAAAUCUCCUGCCAGAUUUACAACCAGUAGACUGGUCAGAAGUCGGAAGAAGCAGUAUUUCCACCAGAACACCACCAACGUUACAAUGCCUAAGACAAUGGUUUUGCGUGCGCAGCGAUACCUGGGUAGUGACGAGGGAAAUUCUACGGACACGGCCAGCCCUGUUUACAUUACUUUACGGCCCCCGUAAUCGACAAAGCGAACACCCUUGGGCCUCGGCGCAUACCAUAACCUUUCUCUAAGUCUGUGUUAAAGUGAAUAAUCGCCACGUUCUUCUCACCGGGAACCGAAGAAAACAGAAAUGUCAUGGUAAACUUAAGUAUGUGACCUGUAGAUCUGUAAACUGAACAUCUUACGAAAUAGGCUUUUAACAGGGGCAGAUCCUAGGGGUAGAGGGUUCACAAGGACCACUGACUCCCAAAAGUCACCAGAGGAGACUAUUCUGGUUUGUUACUUACUUAAUGGUGAUAAAUGUUAAGUGGCAGUCAGUUGGAAAUCUUAUUGUAUUGAUUGAUUACUCAUAGGUUAGGAAAGUCAGGCAGUUAGGUUUUGUUUAUCUUCCUUUGGCAGCAGAAUCAGUGUAGUAGUGACAAGUAGGCUAGUUUGAAUUGUAUUGGUCUUGGGAAGCCCAGAUAAACUUUAGUUUCCACAGCUACUUUUCUGAUAUACUUUUGUGCUUUUCACAAACAAUAUCAUCAUUUUGUUUAACGUCCGUUUUCACUCUUCCUGAGCGGUUGGAUGCUUUAUAGCUCUGUUCUAUUCUACUCUGCCUUCUGCCCGAUGCCCAUCCAAUCCCAUCAAUGCCAAGUCCUCCUGUAUACACCUUCUCAACGUCUUCCUUGGUCUACCAACUGGUCUCCUUCCUUCCCAAAAUCUCCAAAGCUCCCAGCACUGUAUCCUCCCCUGCUCUCUUCACAUGUCCAAACCACUGGAGUCUUUCCCUUCUAAGCACUGUUUCCAGGUCCUCUUCUCCACAUCUGUCAGCUACAUCUGCACUGGACACCCUAUCUUGCCACUUGAUCCCCGCCAUAUACCUCGGUAUUCUGCGAUCACUUGCUCUCGAUCUUCCCGAGGGACACCCACUCCUUGGUCUUGGUUUGGAGUCUUCAUCAAACACGGACUGACCUUUGACCCUCCACAUGCCCACGUCAGCAGAUCAACAAUGGCAACAGGUAGCACAAAAAAUAAUAAUGGCUGGUGUGCUGGCUGAUGGAGACAUGACGCUCCCCCGCCCUCCAACAGCCAAUUGGCAGCAUUGUUACUUACUCGGCAGCAGUCCUACCCAAAGUAAUUACUGGAAGGGAUGCACCUGUACGUAGUGCCAUGGCCCGCCUGAUGGGCGAGCUUCCUAUAACUCGCUCUGUGAGGGGGGUACCUCUUUGGCCAACUGAUUAAGGAGUGGCUCUCUCAUCUCACUGGUCACAGACUGCUACUAAAGUUUGACCAAGCAGGAGCUGGAGUGUCCCACCAUCCCAUCACUGUGCGCAGGGCGUCAUCAUUCGGACACGCAGAUGACUUGUGGAGAAUGUCAGCACCUGACGGGAGCAACAGCCAUAAUGAAGUGUAAUGACAUGCCUGAUAUGGGGGCCUCAAGACCCUGUUAGCUAGGGAGUACCUCUUCUGCUGAUUGUUUAGAGUGGGGGCUUCUGGUCUGGUUGGUUGUGGUUUAUACCUGCAACCAGCCAGAUGGGAAACCACUCCUCAGCCAGUCAGCCAGAGGUACCCCCCCCAUGUAGUGGUUGAGGGGGUCUUUAUGCAUCAUAUGGGCCACUACAGAAGAAUAUAUCCGCUCCUUUGGUACAUCAACCCAAGACAGGAUUAUUAUUGUGAUGUACAUAUAUACUUGAUGUCUGCAAGGUUGUUCAAUAAAGAUCUGAUGCAGACA
Molecule: long non-coding RNA, 2911 nt
Organism: Eriocheir sinensis (Chinese mitten crab)
Lineage: Eukaryota; Metazoa; Arthropoda; Malacostraca; Decapoda; Varunidae
Exons: 4
Source: RefSeq, a predicted model, not a curated record